RNAcentral lists this ribosomal RNA (253 nucleotides) under uncultured bacterium. RNAcentral describes it as "partial 16S ribosomal RNA". It matches the Rfam family "Bacterial small subunit ribosomal RNA", at positions 524 to 776 of the family's 1533-position model. The record is from RNAcentral.
GACAGAGGGGGCAAGCGUUGUCCGGAAUUACUGGGCGUAAAGCGCGCGCAGACGGCUUGAGAUGUGCCUGGUGACAGUCCGCCGCUUAACGGCGGGAGGUCUGGGUAAACACUCAAGCUAGCAGAUGGGAGAGGGGUGUGGAAUACCCGGUGGAGCGGUGAAAUGCGUAGAGAUCGGGUGGAACACCAGUGGCGAAGGCGGCACCCUGGCCCAUAAUGGACGUUGAGGCGCGACAGCGUGGGGAGCAAACGGG